GUGGGGUAACGGCUCACCUAGGCGACGAUCCCUAGCUGGUCUGAGAGGAUGACCAGCCACACUGGAACUGAGACACGGUCCAGACUCCUACGGGAGGCAGCAGUGGGGAAUAUUGCACAAUGGGCGCAAGCCUGAUGCAGCCAUGCCGCGUGUAUGAAGAAAGCCUUCGGGUUGUAAAGUACUUUCAGCGAGGAGGAAGCAUUUAGGUUAAUAACCUUGGUGAUUGACGUUACUCGCAGAAAAACACCGGCUAACUCCGUGCCAGCAGCCGCGGUAAUACGGAAGGUGCAAGCGUUAAUCGGAAUUACUGGGCGUAAAACGCACGCAGGCGGUCUGUCAAGUCGGAUGUGAAAUCCCCCGGCUCAACCUGGGAUCUUCAUUC
This 382-nucleotide ribosomal RNA is filed under the name uncultured Enterobacter sp. RNAcentral describes it as "bacterial SSU rRNA". It matches the Rfam family "Bacterial small subunit ribosomal RNA", at positions 252 to 628 of the family's 1533-position model. Lineage: Bacteria; Pseudomonadati; Pseudomonadota; Gammaproteobacteria; Enterobacterales; Enterobacteriaceae. The record is from RNAcentral.